This 144-nucleotide ribosomal RNA is filed under the name Radopholus similis. Its description in RNAcentral is "partial small subunit ribosomal RNA". It matches the Rfam family "Eukaryotic small subunit ribosomal RNA", at positions 1688 to 1831 of the family's 1831-position model. Lineage: Eukaryota; Metazoa; Nematoda; Chromadorea; Rhabditida; Pratylenchidae. The record is from RNAcentral.
ACUGAGCCGAUUCGAGAAAUCCGGGGAUCGCCGGUCUGAUGUCUUCGGGCGUCUCUCUGGUGAGAACCGGCUUAAUCGCAUCAGUUUGAACCGGGCAAAAGUCGUAACAAGGUUGCUGUAGGUGAACCUGCUGCAGGAUCAUUA